RNAcentral lists this ribosomal RNA (253 nucleotides) under uncultured bacterium. RNAcentral describes it as "partial 16S ribosomal RNA". It matches the Rfam family "Bacterial small subunit ribosomal RNA", at positions 524 to 776 of the family's 1533-position model. The record is from RNAcentral.
UACGGAGGGUGCAAGCGUUGUCCGGAAUCACUGGGCGUAAAGGGCGCGUAGGCGGCUCAUGAAGGCUGUGGUGAAAGGCCGGGGCUCAACCUCGGGACUGCAUUGGAUACUGCCUUGCUCGAGAACUGGAGAGGAGACUGGAAUUUACGGUGUAGCAGUGAAAUGCGUAGAGAUCGUAAGGAAGACCAGUGGCGAAGGCGAGUCUCUGGACAGAUUCUGACGCUGAGGCACGAAGGCCAGGGGAGCAAACGGG